RNAcentral lists this ribosomal RNA (848 nucleotides) under Polypedates cf. megacephalus CWL-2010. Its description in RNAcentral is "partial 16S ribosomal RNA". It matches the Rfam family "Bacterial large subunit ribosomal RNA", at positions 1216 to 2609 of the family's 2925-position model. The record is from RNAcentral. Lineage: Eukaryota; Metazoa; Chordata; Amphibia; Anura; Rhacophoridae.
AUACCAUCAACCUUAAUGAACCCCUAAUUUAUAAUGAAUGACUCCAUAUAAAUAUGGAAGACACCAUGCUGGGAUAAGUAACAAGAAUUAAUAAUUCUCCAAAAUGCAAACAUACACCAACAUGGAUAAACCAUUGGUAAUUACCGAAUCUGAACUUACUGCAACAACACUCACAAGAAAACCAUGCAGUAUUUGCUCGUUAACCUAACACUAGUGCAUUUCAGGAAAGAUUUAAAAAAAGAGAAGGAAUUCGGCAAAUGAAAGCCCCGCCUGUUUACCAAAAACAUCGCCUCUUGAUUUAUGAUAAGAGGUCCAGCCUGCCCAGUGAAUUUUUAACGGCCGCGGUAUCCUAACCGCGCGAAGGUAGCAUAAUCACUUGUUCUUUAAAUGGGGACUCGUAUCAACGGCAUCACGAGGGUUUUACUGUCUCCUCUUUUUGAUCAGUGAAAUUGAUCUUCCCGUGAAGAAGCGGGAAUACUUAUAUAAGACGAGAAGACCCCAUGGAGCUUAAAACCAAAUAGUAACUUAACCACAUAUCUCCUUAUAACUUUAAGCCUGUACUAUGAGGUUUUUGGUUGGGGUGACCGCGGAGUAAAACAUAUCCUCCACGACGGAAAGACUACAAUCUUUAUUUAAGAACCACAAUUCUAAAAAUUAGUAUACUAACGUUUACUGACCCGAUAAUCGAUCAACGGAACAAGUUACCCUGGGGAUAACAGCGCAAUCUACUUCAAGAGCCCAUAUCGACAAGUAGGCUUACGACCUCGAUGUUGGAUCAGGGUAUCCCAGUGGUGCAGCCAUUACUGAAGGUUCGUUUGUUCAACGAUUAAAACCCUACGUGAUCUGAU